UUUUUUGUUUUUUGUCUUUUUAGGGCCGCAUCUGCGACAUAUGGAGGUUCCCAGGCUAGGGGUCGAAUUGGAGCUAUAGCUGCCGUCCUACGCCACAGCCACAGCAAUGCUGGAUCCGAUCUACCCCAGAGCUCACGGCAAUGUCAGAUCCUUAACCCACUGAGCAAGGCCAGGGAUUGAACCCUCAUCCUCAUGGAUGCUAGUCAGAUCAUUUCUGCUGAGCCACAACGGGAACUCCUUGAGGGGACUUUUAAAGUUCUUUUUUUUUCAACAUUAUUUUGUAGGUAAUGAAGUUGAGACCCAGAGAAUCACUCUACAAGACAACCCUGAGUCAAAGAAGCCUCCAGAACCUGUUGGUCAUGACUUAUCACUGGUGGUCUUAGCACCAUAUAUGUGAAGAGCUGGAUAUAGAAUGUCCAAUGUAUGGACCGCUAUGGAGGUCACUAAAUGACAAGCUCCCAAAACUCUACUGCCAUAUUUACAAUUGUCCAGCGAUUCCCCCUCCAUUUCAUUCAAAGCUCAUUUUAAACUCUGCCUCCUCUAAAUAUGUUUAUUAAAGAGAUAUGCAGUUAAUGCAAUUUUUUUCUUCUUUUUUGGCCAUUCUGCUGUAUAUGGAGUUCCAGGGCCCGGGAUCAGAUCUACACCACAGUGCUGUGGCAAUGCCAGAUCCUUCAAUCCACCAUGCUGGGCCAGGGAUCAAACCUGUGUCCUGGUGCUAGAGAUGCCACGAUCCCAUUGUGCUGCAGUGGGAAAUCCUCAGUGCAAAUUUUAAGAAGGUAAAAUUGUACUCAUGUCAAAAACAUGAGUGACAAUCUGGAUAUCUACACUUUCAGGUAAACAAAAGUGAAUACUCCUUCUAGGUUGAAUCCCACAGCAAACUCCUGUGGAGCAAAGUUAACAAAUUUUAAAUUCCUAGAAGUUAAUCAUAUGAAGUGCAUAGCACAUUGUAGUCGAUCAAAGCUGUUGCAGUCAGUCAAAGGUUUGCCUCUAAGCGUCAGGCAACCAUAAGCUUCAUUCUUCUUGGUAGACAAGUCAGUGGUUCUCCAACUCAGUUUAGUCUCGCCAUGGUCAGUAUGUGAUUAUGUGGUCAAAACUCUCACUUUCAUUCACUUCAUGCAGAAAUCCAGCUGAGAACCUUAACAUUUCCUUUAAUAGGGAAAGUAGCUGACAUGCAAUGAUGAAUCAGUAAUAGAGCAUGAAGAUUACCCUACUUAACAUUCUUCAAUGGUUCCCUAGAGCCUUCAGGAUAAAGUCCAGACUUCUUAAACUGGCAAUCAUGGGCUUUCACGGGCUGAGCUUCAUCUAUCUUUCCAGCCCCAUUUCUCAGUCCUCCCCCUUUUUAGUCUCUGGCCCAAACAUGUUAAACUACUUUCAGUUCUCUGGGAAAAUCGAACUCUCAAUUCCCUCCACUUAAAAUGCCCUGCAUGUACCCUCCUGACUAGCUCCCACUCAUACUGCCAGGGCCCAUGCAGUGGCACACAUCCAUUCAGAAUGUUAUCAUGAGCUAAUUCAUGUCAACUACACCCCAGAUACAGGGACAAUCAAUCCACUUUCAGUGGGACAUCAACAUUUGCCUUUUCACCACUAAACUUUUGGUAAGUGUCUUUGUCAUCCAAUCAUUUCUUAAUCCCUGCAAACCUGCUUCCCCUAGCAUUACUCAACUGAAAAAAAGAAAAAAUUCAAGGUUACUAUUGUCCUCAUAAUCAUUUCAUUCGUUGGCAAUGGUUUUUUUUUCUCCCCCCAAAUACUAUGUUUUCUUAAGUUCUCUAAAGCCAUCUAGACUGCUAGUCACUCUAUGUUCACCAUCUCUUUCCUUUUGUGGCAUACAGUUUCCCUAGUUGUCUCAUUCUAAUUGUUCCUUUUCUGUGUCAUUUACUGGCUUCAAUUCUUCCUUUAAUUAAAGAUAUUUCUCUAAGUUCACUAGAUUCAAAACAUUAGCAUUAGGGAGCCUCCAAAUCACUUAACUCAUAAAACAAACUCAAAUUAUUUGUAUGUCCUAUUGAUUCUAGCUUCUUAGUGAAAAAGGAAGAACCCAGGGUCCAAUAAAAAGAGCAUUCAUUCUAGAGAUAAGCUUGGGUUCAGAUCUCAAGUAUGUCAUCAACUCUUGAGCACUGUGGCAUGGAAUAUAGCACUUAACCCAUUUGGGCAUCAGUUUCUCAUCUGUAAGUUGAAAAUAAUGACUUUCUUUUAGUAUCACUAUUCAAAUUGCAGAAUGCAAAGUGCAUAUUUCAAUGCUGGGUACAGAAGGGGACAUUCAAAGAAACCUACGCAUUUAGUAGUUAUUUCCACACUCACAUACCCCAAAUUUGUAGAGUAUCUCACUGUUCCAAUCCAUUUUUCAUACGUCACCAAAAGAUAAAUCUUAUAGAGUGCAUAUAUGAAUACAUUUUCUGGCUUAAUUGUUCCCAACUACUUACUGAAUCAGAGACCAAUUCCUAUUUAAGCAGAUUUUCAGAUUUUUAGCCCUAUCCUUCCUUUCUGCCCUUCUCCCUCACUGCCCUCCAGAAUGAUUACCAUUCUCCAAGCAAACCUGGACAUUUUGCGGUCCAAAGGUCCAGCUCAGAUUCUGCCUCCUUUAUGAUACUUAUUUCCCCAGCUGGGUAUUUUAUCCUGAGUUGUUUAUAGGUACGUCUCAUGAGUUGCAAUCCCUUUGAGGGAAGAAACUAGUUUCUCAUUCAUUCUCCUACUCAAUACUUUGCUAAGUGAUGGGGCAUUUUUUUGUUGUUGUUUUUUUGGCUGCAUCUGUAGCAUGCAGAAGUGACCCAGGCUGCUGCAGUGACAAUGUUGGAUAUAUAACUCACUGCACCACAAGGUAUAUCCUAUUUUUUAAAAAUACCAACUACACUUUUCCUCAAGGAAUUAUUUUCACUUCCUCAACUUCUCAUGAAGUGGUGGGAAUAGAAUAGAGAGGGAAGUAUGUAUGUAGGGUACUGAUAGAGGCACUGCUGGCUGAACUUCCACUUAGAAUUCUCCCAGCAGCAGCAGAAAGUCAGAGUUGAAACAGUCAUCCUAGAAAUUGACCAGGUAAGACUUUGAGAUCUGUUGGUCAAUUGCAAUCAACCAACCUCUUGGGAAACCCUUUAUCAAUUUGCUAAGAUUAUCAGUAUUUCUUUUCUUCCCCAGAGUUAUUUUUCUAACCUUUUAGUCUUCUCUUAAACCAAAGAGAAAACAAAAGUUUUCAUUUUAAGCCCACAGUUGAACACACAGGAAUAUACACACAUACAUUUGAUGUUAUUUUAUGCAUUAGUUUGUAUUUGAGAAUGUUAUUUCUUUAAAGUGAAAUUUCUUUCAACCUAAAUCUAAGACUAAAUUUUUAUAGGUAUAAUCUUCAGGCAGCACCUAAUAUAGUGCUUGGAUACAGUACAAAUUCACUAUUCAGUGGUUGAAAGAAGAAUGAACUUACAAGGCACAACUGCAGAAUUUAAUGUUGGUUAAUUGCUGUGGAAAAAUAAGAAAACAUACGGUCAGAGUGAGUGUGAUACUUGGAGGCUCAGCCCCUCAUCAGUACCAAUUAGGUAAAUCCUUGGGUGCCUAGUAAUGUACAAGGGUUUAAGUUAUCCCCCACCAAGUUUUUUUGAGAACAGAGAUAUCAUUUUAUUUUGUAUUACUUGUUACAGUGCCAAGUCUGAAGAUACUCUCUCAAGGGCAAAGGUAUCCAGAAAUCAGAAAUCUUGGAAGUUACAGUAUACAAGCAGAUUAGGUAUAGUUCACAUUUGCAAAAUUUUCAACUAACUCUUGUGAUCCUCAAUCACUCCAUAGCAUAAACAAAGUAUUCAAUUAUUUGUCUCAACUUAUGUAAGAUCACACUGCUGGCACUAAAAUCCAGUUCCAGACCCACUCUUCUUUCUACUGUUGAACAUGAUAGAAGCACAGAAUAGUAGAAAUGGAAGAAUCUUUAAAAAUUAUUCAACCUAAUUUUUUUUUUUUUUUUUU
Molecule: long non-coding RNA, 3933 nt
Filed under: Sus scrofa (pig)
Lineage: Eukaryota; Metazoa; Chordata; Mammalia; Artiodactyla; Suidae
Description: lncRNA (ENSSSCG00000062784.1)
Source: RNAcentral